RNAcentral lists this small RNA (168 nucleotides) under Klebsiella sp. MS 92-3. Its description in RNAcentral is "RtT RNA". The stretch from base 38 to 168 matches the Rfam family "RtT RNA". From Rfam's summary of the family: This family represents a bacterial cis-regulatory element known as RtT RNA. The exact function of RtT is unknown although it is thought that it may be involved in changing the cellular response in relation to amino acid starvation. The record is from RNAcentral. Lineage: Bacteria; Pseudomonadati; Pseudomonadota; Gammaproteobacteria; Enterobacterales; Enterobacteriaceae. RNAcentral also lists the same sequence under 1 other name.
CAUGUAUUGCCCAGCUUAUUCCACCUGCGAUACGCUAUAUUCUGCCCCACGGGGAAGGAUGAGAAGCUUCGACUAAGGUUCGACUCGAGCGAAGUGAGAGAACGUUGCCGCAGGCAACGGCCCGAAGGCGAGGCGCUUUAGCGCCGAGUAAUCCUUCCCCCACCACUG